RNAcentral lists this non-coding RNA (247 nucleotides) under Eubacterium sp. RNAcentral's name for it is "T-box sequence". It matches the Rfam family "T-box leader". Rfam says of the family: Uncharged tRNA acts as the effector for transcription antitermination of genes in the T-box leader family. Lineage: Bacteria; Bacillati; Bacillota; Clostridia; Eubacteriales; Eubacteriaceae. The record is from RNAcentral.
CAAAAUUCGUUGAAGAGAACAAUGUCUGUUAUUGAUUUAUUUUCAGAGAGCCUGUGGCUGGUGUAAACAGGUAAUAGUCAUAUCAGGAUAUCCUCUCUAAGAAGCGGGCUGAAAGCAGAGCUGUAUAUGCUGUGCUGGUAAACCUCGCCGGGCUCCACCGUUAUAUGGAUAGCAUAUGCUGGUAUGUAAAGUGCUGUAGUGAUACUGCAGAAUCAGGGUGGUAACGCGGAUUAUAUUCGUCCCUUUU